UACAGAGGUCUCAAGCGUUGUUCGGAUUCAUUGGGCGUAAAGGGUGUGUAGGUGGCGCGGUAAGUCGGGUGUGAAAUCUUGGAGCUUAACUCCGAAACUGCAUUCGAUACUGCGGUGCUUGAGGACUGGAGAGGAGACUGGAAUUCAUGGUGUAGCAGUGAAAUGCGUAGAGAUCAUGAGGAAGACCAGUGGCGAAGGCGGGUCUCUGGACAGUUCCUGACACUGAGACACGAAGGCCAGGGGAGCAAACGGG
Molecule: ribosomal RNA, 253 nt
Filed under: uncultured bacterium
Lineage: Bacteria
Description: partial 16S ribosomal RNA
Rfam family: Bacterial small subunit ribosomal RNA
Source: RNAcentral